Molecule: ribosomal RNA, 253 nt
Filed under: uncultured bacterium
Lineage: Bacteria
Description: partial 16S ribosomal RNA
Rfam family: Bacterial small subunit ribosomal RNA
Source: RNAcentral
UACGUAUGGUGCAAGCGUUAUCCGGAUUUACUGGGUGUAAAGGGAGCGCAGGCGGCGCGGCAAGCCUGAUGUGAAAGCCCGCGGCCCAACCGCGGGACCGCAUUGGGAACUACCGGGCUGGAGUGCCGGAGAGGUAGGCGGAAUUCCUAGUGUAGCGGUGAAAUGCGUAGAUAUUAGGAGGAACACCAGUGGCGAAGGCGGCCUACUGGACGGUGACUGACGCUGAGGCUCGAAAGCGUGGGGAGCAAACAGG